Molecule: ribosomal RNA, 445 nt
Filed under: uncultured bacterium
Lineage: Bacteria
Description: bacterial SSU rRNA
Rfam family: Bacterial small subunit ribosomal RNA
Source: RNAcentral
UGGGGAAUCUUGGACAAUGGGCGCAAGCCUGAUCCAGCCAUGCCGCGUGGAUGAUGAAGGCCUUAGGGUUGUAAAAUCCUUUCGUUGGGGACGAUAAUGACGGUACCCAAAGAAGAAGCUCCGGCUAACUUCGUGCCAGCAGCCGCGGUAAUACGAAGGGGGCUAGCGUUGUUCGGAUUUACUGGGCGUAAAGGGCGCGUAGGCGGCGUGGUAAGUCAUCUGUGAAAUCUCCGAGCUUAACUCGGAACGGUCAGAUGAUACUGCUGUGCUAGAGUACAGAAGGGGCAAUCGGAAUUCUUGGUGUAGCGGUGAAAUGCGUAGAUAUCAAGAGGAACACCUGAGGCGAAGGCGGGUUGCUGGGCUGAUACUGACGCUGAGGCGCGAAAGCUAGGGUAGCAAACGGGAUUAGAUACCCUUGUAGUCCCUGAGCGGGCUGGCAAGGCGC